RNAcentral lists this ribosomal RNA (179 nucleotides) under Klebsiella pneumoniae. Its description in RNAcentral is "partial 16S ribosomal RNA". It matches the Rfam family "Bacterial small subunit ribosomal RNA", at positions 1 to 175 of the family's 1533-position model. Lineage: Bacteria; Pseudomonadati; Pseudomonadota; Gammaproteobacteria; Enterobacterales; Enterobacteriaceae. The record is from RNAcentral.
AAAUUGAAGAGUUUGAUCAUGGCUCAGAUUGAACGCUGGCGGCAGGCCUAACACAUGCAAGUCGAGCGGUAGCACAGAGAGCUUGCUCUCGGGUGACGAGCGGCGGACGGGUGAGUAAUGUCUGGGAAAUUGCCUGAUGGAGGGGGAUAACUACUGGAAACGGUAGCUAAUACCGCAUA